This 235-nucleotide long non-coding RNA is filed under the name Elaeis guineensis (African oil palm). RNAcentral's name for it is "long non-coding RNA (EGUI_LNC039172)". The record is from RNAcentral. Lineage: Eukaryota; Viridiplantae; Streptophyta; Magnoliopsida; Arecales; Arecaceae.
AGGGGGGGAGCAGAGAGAGAGAGAGCAUCGACAGGUUAUGGGACCUCAUCCCUACUGGAAGAAAGAAAAGACUUCGAGAGAUCUAUUUUUGUUUCUCAAACAGGCAUGAGGCCCCGCCAAUCCCUACUCUCUCUCUCUCUCUCUCUCUCAUCUCACUCCAUUAUUUUCUCUCCUUGACACGUAGGGUUUGAAAUGGUCGAAAGGCCAUGCCCUACCUAAGACAUGUCUAUAAUUU